Diorhabda sublineata is the source of this 252-nucleotide long non-coding RNA. RefSeq lists it as uncharacterized. The transcript has 3 exons. Lineage: Eukaryota; Metazoa; Arthropoda; Insecta; Coleoptera; Chrysomelidae. The record is from RefSeq and is a predicted model, not a curated record.
UGCAUCAUAUCAUCACAAACAUUUAUAUCUUUCCUCUCAUAAUGAGUGCUUCUUGUCGUAAAAAUCCGUUGAUCAAACGCCAAGCAGUACUUUUGUUCAUUGUAGCAUUUACUAUUUAGAUACCUUUCAGCGAAAAAAGUAGAAAACGAGUGUGGCGAGAUUCCAACUGUGAUUGUACAGAAUAAAAUCGAUCUAUUAGAUCAAAGCGUUGUCAAUCCAGAAGAAGCUGAUCUUUUGACCCGUGCAUUAGGG